AUGCACGCUGGCGGCGUGCCUCAUCCAUGCCAGUCGCGCGAACAGACGAGGAGCUUGCUCCUCUGACGUUAGCGGCGGACGGGUGAGUAACACGUGGAUAACCUACCUAUAAGACUGGGAUAACUUCGGGAAACCGGAGCUAAUACCGGAUAACAUGUUGAACCGCAUGGUUCAACAGUGAAAGACGGUCUUGCUGUCACUUAUAGAUGGAUCCGCGCCGCAUUAGCUAGUUGGUAAGGUAACGGCUUACCAAGGCAACGAUGCGUAGCCGACCUGAGAGGGUGAUCGGCCACACUGGAACUGAGACACGGUCCAGACUCCUACGGGAGGCAGCAGUAGGGAAUCUUCCGCAAUGGGCGAAAGCCUGACGGAGCAACGCCGCGUGAGUGAAGAAGGUCUUCGGAUCGUAAAACUCUGUUAUUAGGGAAGAACAAAUGUGUAAGUAACUAUGCACGUCUUGACGGUACCUAAUCAGAAAGCCACGGCUAACUACGUG
This 496-nucleotide ribosomal RNA is filed under the name uncultured bacterium. Its description in RNAcentral is "partial 16S ribosomal RNA". It matches the Rfam family "Bacterial small subunit ribosomal RNA", at positions 29 to 507 of the family's 1533-position model. The record is from RNAcentral.